UACCAGCACCCCGAGUGGUCGGGACGAUUAUUGGGCCUAAAGCCUCCGUAGCCGGUCCUGCAAGUCUUCCGUUAAAUCCAGCUGCUCAACAGAUGGGCUGCGGGGGAUACUACAGGGCUAGGAGGCGGGAGAGGCAAGCGGUACUUUAUGGGUAGGGGUAAAAUCCGUUGAUCCAUAGAAGACCACCAGUGGCGAAGGCGGCUUGCCAGAACGCGCUCGACGGUGAGGGAUGAAAGCUGGGGGAGCAAACCGG
RNAcentral lists this ribosomal RNA (253 nucleotides) under uncultured bacterium. Its description in RNAcentral is "partial 16S ribosomal RNA". It matches the Rfam family "Archaeal small subunit ribosomal RNA", at positions 474 to 727 of the family's 1478-position model. The record is from RNAcentral.